UCUCUCCACUCCCCUUCUGCUCACCCUGCCACCCCUUUCUUUGUCUCUCCCUCACAAUAAACCUCUUUCAGGUGGCACCGCCUUGGCUUAGCAUGUCUUUUGGUGUUAUCUGCUAUCUUAAUACAUCAUUUUGGUGCAGAAACCCGGGAUAGCGGGACCGCCAACAGCCGCUAGAUCCCAGAGGAUUCCAGCAGAUUCCAGCGGAUCCCCGAGAAUGCAGUGGUUAGCAAUUUGGAGCUUCGUUUUGGGUUACUAGCAUAACCAAUUCCUUGAAGAAUCUCAGGGGACUUAAGCUGAUCAUUUCUGACCACUUGAGGAAAAAAGUUCUUCACCCUACUUCUUCUCCCUUUAACAACCCUAUACUAGCAGCUCCUGUUACAGGAUUACCAGUCGCUGCCCACGGAAGAGCCAAUGUCCAUAGAGGAACCUGAUUCAGACGAUUAUCAAGCGGAUCUCAAUGGUGAAAGCCCCGAAAUUGACGAUGCCCCAAGACAGCAGGAAACAGUUUAAGAGACACAACACCCUCGUUCCCUUUUCACCAUCAGCUUCUCCUUCUCUUUUUCUUUGCUUCCUUUUAUAAUAACAAGAAGGGGGGAGGUAUGUUAGUACCAGAACAUUCCAAACCCAGGCACUAACAACGUGACUCACGACCCGCAGGCCGGUUGCCAAGCCAAUGACCACCAUAUCCCAGAACCCACUUGGCUCACCUCCCACCCUUACUUGUGUUACAUCACUU
Mus caroli (Ryukyu mouse) is the source of this 736-nucleotide long non-coding RNA. RefSeq lists it as uncharacterized. NCBI's taxonomy places the organism in Eukaryota, Metazoa, Chordata, Mammalia, Rodentia, Muridae. The record is from RefSeq and is a predicted model, not a curated record.